ACUCGAAAGGUGCGGAGGGGGGACCUUUGCCGGUCCUUCGAAACCCUUUUUACUUUGUCCACACCUCUGUGCACCCCGUUCGCGCGAGGUUCUUCGGAACCCUGUGUGAUGCUUAUCUCGAACUCGUAUGUCUACAGAAUGUGACCUAGUGUGUUGGAAAUGG
Molecule: unclassified non-coding RNA, 163 nt
Filed under: Pisolithus tinctorius
Lineage: Eukaryota; Fungi; Basidiomycota; Agaricomycetes; Boletales; Pisolithaceae
Description: ITS1
Source: RNAcentral